UUUAAACACAAAUACAUAUAGAAAUUUUCAUGUUAUUACAUGGAAACUAGUUGUAAUACAGUUGUGUCAAAUGACUCCCAGUAUACAAUUAUAAUCUGUUAUCUUGCAUAUUAUUAUUUAACACAGACUCAGUUGCAUAUAUCAUAGUGGACUUGGAAGCACCGAACGAGUACGGAUGCUGAUCAAAUUUUUUCUGAUCGCACAGAUCGUGCUGUCGAGGACCGGAUUCGUCGACGCAGGGUCUGAGCAUGCACUGCAUCAGGCCUAUCUACUGCUACCUCCGGCUGUCUGCCCUGCUGGCUUCAUCGGACAAAACAAGUCGCAGGAAGCUGUGCCACGUGCACUGCACUGGGACCACCUGACCAGCACGGUGACGUCGACGGAGACAUCGUGGCACCCGGAUAAAAGCAGCAGCCUUUUCGACGUUCCCUUCAGUGGACUUGGAAGCACCGAACGAGCACGGAUGCUGAUCAAAUUUUUUCUGAUCGCACAGGCGAUCUUUGGAAACUUCAGUGAUACCUGACGACUGGCGAAGGGCCAAAGUAAUACCUGUGCACAAAUCUGGCUCUAAACUCGACUUUCUUCCUCUGGGCUUAAGUGGGACGCUUCUCCAUCAUUGGUGCGAAAGUGCCUCCAGAACCUUCCGGGAUUAUUAGUAAGAAAGCUCGGUAAC
RNAcentral lists this long non-coding RNA (673 nucleotides) under Dermacentor andersoni. RNAcentral describes it as "uncharacterized LOC126520319". The record is from RNAcentral. Lineage: Eukaryota; Metazoa; Arthropoda; Arachnida; Ixodida; Ixodidae.